Molecule: long non-coding RNA, 1873 nt
Organism: Arachis stenosperma
Lineage: Eukaryota; Viridiplantae; Streptophyta; Magnoliopsida; Fabales; Fabaceae
Exons: 4
Source: RefSeq, a predicted model, not a curated record
ACCACACUCAUACCUUGUCCUAAGUUUUUCGCUGAGCUCCCUUGUCGCUGCGUUUCCUCCGCUUGGCAUCCGUCGCGUGGUCGUCCGCCGUCACUUAUCAUAAUCCUGAUGUGCUCCACUACUCGCAGAAUGCCACGCCGCUCCUCCAUCGCCAUUCCCUUCGCUCAUUCACUCGCGUUUGUCAUCGCCGUCUCUUUCGCUGGCAUCCCGUCGCUGCGCCGUCCCCAUUGAAUUUGAUAUUUACCAUCGAAUUUUAUUUAAUGUUCCCCAUCCAUCUUUUGUUACAAUUGCUCUUGAAGAAGGAUUUCAGCAAGGAAAACAUGGAUAAACUGAGACAUGGAGUUUAUGAGCCUUUGGAUGUGAAUCUCCUCCCACCUUCGCAUCUAAUCUAUGCUGAAAAUCCUAGUGAUUCUGGGAAGUGUGACCUCCUUUCUCCUUGAAUCUCACCGGUACAGCGCCGCCACUAUCAGCAACCGCCGUCAGACAUUGCCCCACCAUUGUUCUGACUCGUGCCGUCGUCCACUAACGCCCAACGCCAAGGGAGGACGCGCAUAUUGUGUGAGCCGAAUGCGCGGCACCGCAGCAACCCAGACGUCCAGCGACUCCAUCGCAGCCGAUGUGUGCCUUCUUCCCGACGUCGACGUCGACGUCGCAAGAGAAAGGGCUCUCGAGUGUGUUUCAUCUUUCACGUUCAUCAUUCCGCGGAAGUUUCUUAAUGGAGGUUAGUUUGGUUGAACCGCUGUGUCAUGUUCCAUCUUCCGGAGGUAAUGAGAAUUCAUCACAUCCACAUGAAAACGUAGCCAACCACUCCAUCGUUGAGGGUGAGCAAUGUAAUAAGGUGAGCAACAUACGUUGAAAGUAUUGAUAAUGGAUGGUUAUUUUCAAGCGAUUUAGAUGUUCAUAAUCAAUGCAAGUGGCGUAUUUAGUUUUAUGUUUUAUGCUUAUCCAGAUGCAUCAUAAACAUUCAUGAUUCAACCACAUUUGGGAUGAUUUUAUAUUCAUGGUAUGCUUAUAUGUAUGAAGCCCUUGGUUUGUAUUAAUUGAUCAUGGCAUAUUUUGUUGACGCUGGAUGAAACUAGAUAUUUAAUUGACUAUCUUUUAUUGAUAUAUGAAUUUAUAUGACUAAAUUUAAAUUGCAUGUACAAGCAUGAGACUUGAAUACUUUGGAGACCUUGACACCCAAUAAGUAAGCACCUAUGUUCUUGUGCAUGAUGGCAAUAGAUCUGCUGGAAUAUUAGUAGUGAUGUAUAUUGAAUAUGAAAUGCAGCUAAUGGUAUUAUUAUUAUUGAAAUUAUAUUUCAAAAAGAAAAUUAAAUAGGCAAGAAAAUUAAAUACUUCCUGCAUGUUUAGAUUAGAAUACAUAUAUGAUCAUACAUCAUAUGGCUAUGGCUCCAUCCCCUGAGAAAUCACCGUGGAGAGUAGCAAAUAGUCCUUUUUCUCCAACUGCAUCAAUGCUUGCAAAUGUUAGAAAGUCAUUUAUAGCUAAGAAUAUCAUUUAGAUUGUUGGUGCUGGUCUUUUGAUAUUUAUUUUGUUAGGCGUUUGUAUUUUUAUACCGUGGUGCUUUAAGCGAAAGCCAGAGAAGAAAAAUGCCAAGAAGCAAAAUGUUGGUGUCUUCGAAAGUCCUUUACAUAAACCUACUUGCAGUGACACUUCCUUUGAAGCAACCAAUCAGAAGAAAUUCUUUGUUGGGAGACAGUAUGCAGCCGAAGUUUUAUAUAUGCAUGUAAAUGUUUAUUUUUCAUGUAAAUGAGAUGUUUAUUUUUAAUGUAAAUGGGAUAUUUUAAUGUAUUUAAUGGUCAAUUUAAGAUGGUUAUUUUAAUAGGUAUGCAGAUGAUUAUUUUAAUUUUUAUGUAGAUGAUUAUUUUGAUUGGA